Molecule: ribosomal RNA, 253 nt
Filed under: uncultured bacterium
Lineage: Bacteria
Description: partial 16S ribosomal RNA
Rfam family: Bacterial small subunit ribosomal RNA
Source: RNAcentral
UACGUAGGAUGCAAGCGUUGUUCGGAAUUACUGGGCGUAAAGAGUACGUAGGCGGUAUGUUAAGUCUGAUAUUAAAGACUGGAGCUUAACUCCAGGACUGUAUCGGAAACUGACAAACUAGAGGACAAUAGAGGAAGUCGGAAUUCUCAGUGUAGCGGUGAAAUGCGUAGAUAUUGGGAAGAACACCAGUGGCGAAAGCGGACUUCUGGGUUGUUACUGACGCUGAGGUACGAAAGCGUGGGGAGCAAACGGG